GGGGAAGAAGACAGUUGCAGAUGUUAUGCCAAUUGCUACAGGUCAUGAGUGUGAAGAACUUUAGGCCGAACUCAAGGGAAGGAAUGUUCUGGAGAUGAAUUAUCCAGUUGGACCUUUUGUCCCCAAGGUUUGAAGCAUUGAGUCUGAAGCAUUGUGGACUUCUUUAAGACCUUUCAUAUCGAAACAAGGUUUUGGCAAUAUUAAGCUGGAAUGACCUCUAACAUUAUGGAUAAUGUUCAGUUUAUUCAACAAAGAAAUGUCGGUGUAGUGAUUCGUGAUGAGCAUGAUUUCAAUGU
This is a non-coding RNA of Camellia sinensis, 296 nucleotides long. Lineage: Eukaryota; Viridiplantae; Streptophyta; Magnoliopsida; Ericales; Theaceae. The record is from RefSeq and is a predicted model, not a curated record.